RNAcentral lists this ribosomal RNA (253 nucleotides) under uncultured bacterium. RNAcentral's name for it is "partial 16S ribosomal RNA". It matches the Rfam family "Bacterial small subunit ribosomal RNA", at positions 524 to 776 of the family's 1533-position model. The record is from RNAcentral.
UACGGAGGGAGCUAGCGUUUUUCGGAAUUACUGGGCGUAAAGCGCACGUAGGCGGCUUUUUAAGUCAGGGGUGAAAUCCCGGGACUCAACCUCGGAACUGCCCUUGAAACUGGGAAGCUAGAAUCUUGGAGAGGCGAGUGGAAUUCCGAGUGUAGAGGGGAAAUUCGUAGAUAUUCGGAAGAACACCAGUGGCGAAGGCGACUCGCUGGACAAGUAUUGACGCUGAGGUGCGAAAGCGUGGGGAGCAAACAGG